RNAcentral lists this ribosomal RNA (775 nucleotides) under Olea europaea subsp. europaea. RNAcentral's name for it is "SSU_rRNA_microsporidia". It matches the Rfam family "Eukaryotic small subunit ribosomal RNA", at positions 4 to 1116 of the family's 1831-position model. The record is from RNAcentral. Lineage: Eukaryota; Viridiplantae; Streptophyta; Magnoliopsida; Lamiales; Oleaceae.
UUGGUUGAUCCUGCUAGUAGUCAUAUGCUUGUCUCAAAGAUUAAGCCAUGCAUGUGUAAGUAUGAAUUAAUUCAGACUGUGAAACUGUGAAUGGCUCAUUAAUUCAGACUUGUUUGAUGGUAGCUGCUACUCAGAUAACUGUAGUAUUUAUAGAUCUAAUGUGUACAACAAAACUCAACUUCUAGAAGGGAUACAUUUAUUAGAUAAAAGGUUGAUGUGGGCUCCUCCCAUUGCUACGAUGAUUCAUGAUAACUGGAUGGAUCGUAUGGCCCUUGUGCCGGAGAUGCAUCAUUCAAAUUUUUACCCUAUCAACUUUCGAUGGUGGGAUAGUAGCCUACUAUGGUAGUGACGAGUGAUAGAGAAUUAGGGUUUGAUUUCGGAGAUUGUCCCUUUUGUUGACGAUGCGCUCCUGGCCUUAACUGGUCGGGUCGUGCCUCAAAGCAAGCUUACGCUCUGGAUACAUUAGCAUUGGAUAACAUUAUAGGAUUUGGGUCCUAUUAUGUUGGCCUUUGGGAUCAGAGUAAUGAUUAAUAGUUACAAUCGGAGACAAUCAUAUUUCAUAGUCAGAGAUGAAAUUCUUGGAUUUAUAAAAGAUGAACAACUGCAAAAGCAUUUGCCAAGGAUGUUCUCAUUAAUCAAGAAUGAAAGUUGGGGGCUCGAAGAUGAUUAGAUAUCAUCCUUGUCUCAACUAUAAACGAUGCCGACUAGGGAUCGACGGGUGUUGCUUAUAGGAUUCGACUGGCACCUUAUGAGAAAUUAAAGUUUUUGGGUUUCA